Molecule: long non-coding RNA, 743 nt
Organism: Astyanax mexicanus (Mexican tetra)
Lineage: Eukaryota; Metazoa; Chordata; Actinopteri; Characiformes; Acestrorhamphidae
Exons: 3
Source: RefSeq, a predicted model, not a curated record
UUUGUCCUCUGUUUUCCUUUAUAUUGAGGUUGUUCUCUCAAGCCAGGAGACAUCCAGCUGGAGAGGAUUUCCUCUGAUAAGGAUCUUACUCUGCAGAAAAGAUGGUUCAGAAGGAUACAGACUGUACGUUCCACAGAGCAGAGAGGAAGUAGUGUAGUGGCGAUAAAUACGCACUCACCUGUGACAGACUACGGUUCACUUCCCCAGCAGGAAUUGAAAACUUCUGGAAUAUAAACAAGAGGAAGAUUGAUGAUGACAAACCAUCAAACCAAGCUGAACUGCUUUGCACUAGGAGUGGCAUUAAGUUUUUCAAAAGCAGUGUGUAAGACUGGUGGAGGAAAACAUGCCAAGAUGCAUGAAAACUGUGGUUAAAAACCAAACCAGGGUUAUUUCACCAAAUAUUGAUUUCUGAACUUUUAAAAUUUUAUGAAUAUGAAUGUUUUCUUUGCAUUAUUUGAGGUCUAAAAGCUCUGGAUCUUUUUUAUUUCAGCCUUUUCUAUUUUUUUUUUUUGCAAAUAAAUGCUUUCAAUUACAAUAUAUUUUUGGAAUUUGGGAGAAAUGUUGUCUGUAGUUUAUAGAAUAAAACAAUAUUGUUAAUUUUACUCAAGCAUGUACCUAUAAAUAGCAGAAACUGCAGUGGUCUCUUAUUUUUUUCAGAGUUGUAUAUAUUUUAAAACACUGUACAUUUGUAACAUUUUAGCAGACCAACAACCAUCAAUACACAACUCUAAAAAAAUGUAGAA